RNAcentral lists this long non-coding RNA (1292 nucleotides) under Myripristis murdjan (pinecone soldierfish). Its description in RNAcentral is "lncRNA (ENSMMDG00005007558.1)". Lineage: Eukaryota; Metazoa; Chordata; Actinopteri; Holocentriformes; Holocentridae. The record is from RNAcentral.
UAGAAAAAGUAAAAAGCAGGAACAGUGGAAUGUCAGCGAGCUGCAAUGCAGAGGGGAAGCUCCACCCCGUCGUUUGAUCUGAAGGCGUUUCAUCGCUUGGCGUGACUUCCUGCUCAGCGUCGGACUCAUCUCAGCAGACCACGACUUGUGGCUGUUCCGUGUUGGAGAACGCAAAGCUGGAAGUGCAAGUAAAGAGGCUGUUGGACGAUGCAACACAACACAAAUCAACCAACUUUAUUCAUCCCACUGGAGACAAUCAGUGUUUGUCUGGAGCAGCUUGUUGAGCGCCAAACACAGUUACACGGCUUGGAGGACAAGGCAAUGACAUCAUCCAGGGUCUCGCUGUCGGUGGUCUGGAGAAACAAUUACAAAAUGCAGAAUAUAUAGAAAUAUAAGCUUUUUGUGAGUGGACGUGCUGGACUGCAGCCGUCUGGGAUCCUCAUGGUACGGGACGACUGUCGACUGCGGCUGUUACAAUAAUAACACUGAUAAUUUUAUUUGCAUAGCACUUUCCAAGCAAAAUGCACAAAGUGCUUCCCAUAGUCAACAGAAAAGCACAAUCAGAUUAGGAAACAUAAAACAAACAUACACGAACAGGAUAUUAAAAGCACACAAGCUGAAAUCAGUUACCAAGAAUUUAAAGAUACUGUACAAAAAAGAUAAAACAAAUAAUGAUAAAACUGGUGGAACAUAUUAGAAUAAACUGCACAGCAGAGCAGCGUCAGACAAAGAGGCAAGAGUGUAAAAAUGGAUCUUAAGGUGGGAUUAAAAAGCAGGACAGCAAACGCUCCAUCGCCUGUUGACCUUCAUUUAGACGCUGGAGCUGGCAGGAGGCCAAACCCUGCAGAUCUGAGGCCUUUCAGCUCUGCAGUGGCCAUGAAAAACCUCGUAAGUUAGAGACCGUGUCCCAGCAGGCACAGCCGACCCGGCGCUCAGCCGUUUCAGUCGGCAUUUUGGAAACAUUACCUUCCACCUGAGGCUAGUCGCUCACCUCAGUUUCACUCGUCACUCGCCUCAGUUUCAGUAUUAUCCAGCUGGCUCUCACUGAGCUUUGCUCCAGUGCUGCUGACGGCAGGCGGUUUGUUGACAGCAAAAUCUGGCAGCGGGGCUUUUCCUCUGCCUUCCUCUUUGUCUCUGUGCCACUUGACUCACUUUGCUGCUCUUUGUUUGACGUUUGGUUUUGUUUCUUGGCCUCACAGCAACUGGAAAGACAAGGAAAUCAGGUUGGAGUGCCAGCACUAUUCCCUGAAAUAAAAACUAUCACAAAAUUAAAAAUGAAGUCUGAUAAAACA